Molecule: ribosomal RNA, 468 nt
Filed under: uncultured bacterium
Lineage: Bacteria
Description: partial 16S ribosomal RNA
Rfam family: Bacterial small subunit ribosomal RNA
Source: RNAcentral
GACGAACGCUGGCGGCGUGCUUAACACAUGCAAGUCGAACGGAAAGGCCCUGCUUUUGUGGGGUGCUCGAGUGGCGAACGGGUGAGUAACACGUGAGUAACCUGCCCUUGACUUUGGGAUAACUUCAGGAAACUGGGGCUAAUACCGGAUAGGAGCUCCUGCUGCAUGGUGGGGGUUGGAAAGUUUCGGCGGUUGGGGAUGGACUCGCGGCUUAUGAGCUUGUUGGUGGGGUAGUGGCUUACGAAGGCUUUGACGGGUAGCCGGCCUGAGAGGGGGAACGGCCACAUGGGGACUGAGGGACGGCGCAGACGGCUACGGGAGGCAGUGGGGGGGAGUAUGACAGAAUGGGGGGACGCGUGAUGCAGCAACGCCGCGUGCGGGAUGACGGCCUUCGGGUUGUAAACCGCUUUCGCAGGUGACGAGGAGUGAGUGACGGUAAUGGGUAAAGAAGCACCGGCUAACUACGUG